GGAGUAAAGCUUGUCAUGAGGAGUCAGCCGAAGCCAUAGUACCUGAUUACGGCUAUAUCGGGGAAGGGC
This 69-nucleotide non-coding RNA is filed under the name Algoriphagus boritolerans DSM 17298 = JCM 18970. Lineage: Bacteria; Pseudomonadati; Bacteroidota; Cytophagia; Cytophagales; Cyclobacteriaceae. The record is from RNAcentral.